Molecule: microRNA precursor, 225 nt
Filed under: Marmota monax (woodchuck)
Lineage: Eukaryota; Metazoa; Chordata; Mammalia; Rodentia; Sciuridae
Source: RNAcentral
GAGAGAGAGAGAGAGAGAGAGAGAGAGGAUAAUAUAUAAAAAUAAAAGGGUUCAACUAGACAAAAGGAAAUUAUAAUUGUAAAUAUAUAUGCACCAAUGGUUGCUUUAUAUAACUGGGUCUCUUAGUGUUUGGUGCAUAUAUAUUUACAAUUAUAAUUUCCUUUUGUCUAGUUGAACCCUUUUAUUUUUACAUAUUAUCCUCUUUCUCUCUCUCUCUCUUUUUUU